Molecule: ribosomal RNA, 342 nt
Filed under: uncultured Sebacinales
Lineage: Eukaryota; Fungi; Basidiomycota; Agaricomycetes; Sebacinales
Description: eukaryotic LSU rRNA
Rfam family: Eukaryotic large subunit ribosomal RNA
Source: RNAcentral
UAGUAACGGCGAGUGAAGAGGGAAGAGCUCAAAUUUUGAAUCUGGUGUCUUUGUCACCUGAGUUGUAAUCUAGAGAAGUGUUUUCUGCCUCGGACCACGCAUAAAUUCCCUGGAAUGGGGUGUCAAAGAGGGUGAGAAUCCCGUUUGUGGUGUGGACUCCCUUGGCUUUGUGAUACACUCUCAACGAGUCGAGUUGUUUGGGAAUGCAGCUCAAAAUGGGUGGUAAAUUCCAUCUAAAGCUAAAUAUUGGCGAGAGACCGAUAGCGAACAAGUACCGUGAGGGAAAGAUGAAAAGCACUUUGGAAAGAGAGUGAAACAGUACGUGAAAUUGUUGAAAGGGAA